RNAcentral lists this transfer RNA (56 nucleotides) under Angiostrongylus mackerrasae. RNAcentral's name for it is "tRNA-Trp". The record is from RNAcentral. Lineage: Eukaryota; Metazoa; Nematoda; Chromadorea; Rhabditida; Metastrongylidae.
AUAGAUUUAAGUUAAGUGGAAACUAUUAAUUUUCAAAAUUAAAAAUGUAGUCUAUA